CCGGCCUUAGAGUCGGGUUGUUUGGGAAUGCAGCCCAAAGUGGGUGGUAAACUCCAUCCAAGGCUAAAUACUAGCACGAAUCCGAUAGCGAACAAGUACCGUGAGGGAAAGUUGAAAAGUACUUUGAAGAGAGAGUAAACAGUACGUGAAACCGCAUGCAGGUAAACGGGUGGCGUCAAGCUGUAAGCCCAGAGGAUUCAGUCGGUUAGGAUGUAGUGUAUGCGCCUGGCGCAUCGAGAGGUCAGAGUAAGAUUGGGUAAUCUGCUGGUAAACAGCAGGCUCAGCCGCAAGGUUGGGAUAUGUGUACCGGGUGGUUGCCGGAGCAUGUUACCCGUCUGUUGGACCACCUAGCCGGUGCACUUCCUCUGUUUGGUGAACACCACGACCGGUGGUAUUGCCAGUCUGCUAUAGUCAAGUCGUGUUCAGCUGGUACUUGUGCUAGUUGGAUUGCGAUGAUCACAGGCAAAUUCGGUGAACGGUGUAGAGGUGUUUCGGCACUUUUGCAUGUUAUCGGACACUGGUUGUCAACGGGUCUGUUUAGUGAUUGUUGUAGUCGUCGCUAGAUGGCCUGGUGGAUUAUGGUGGUAAGAAUAACUGUGCAAGGCACCGGAGUUAUCGGUCUCUAAUGCAGCCUACAUGCACGCUACAAGUGAACAUGGGGUGUUGUUGCAGCCUGCCUGUUAUUGGGUCUGAUUGUCGUGUUGCCUGCGCAAAGUGGGCCCGGCAGUGGCCUGGUGCAGGAUGGUGUUGUGGAUGGCAUCUCGUGUGUAGGUUGCUGUGGACCAAACAGUCAGUGGUGUAGUGGUAGACGAGCUACCCGACCCGUCUUGAAACACGGACCAAGGAGUUUAACAUGUGUGCAAGUCAUGGGGUCUUACGAAACCCAAAGGCGCAGUGAAAGUGAAGCUUCGACUUGUUCUCGGAGUGUGGUGAGAUCCUACCGUUACUCGCAUGCUGUCAGCACCAGGCAAAGAGCGGUGGGCGCAUCACCGGCCCGUCCCAUGAUGUGGUCGUUGGUUGGCUGGAGUGGUUGCUUCGGUGGCUGCCUCAGUUGCCAGCGCAUCAUCGGGGCGGAGCAUGAGCACACAUGUUGAGACCCGAAAGAUGGUGAACUAUGCUUGCGUAGGUUGAAGCCAGAGGAAACUCUGGUGGNNNNCCGCAGCGAUUCUGACGUGCAAAUCGAUCGUCAAACGUGAGUAUAGGGGCGAAAGA
This 1212-nucleotide ribosomal RNA is filed under the name Litobothrium janovyi. RNAcentral's name for it is "eukaryotic LSU rRNA". It matches the Rfam family "Eukaryotic large subunit ribosomal RNA", at positions 253 to 930 of the family's 3401-position model. Lineage: Eukaryota; Metazoa; Platyhelminthes; Cestoda; Litobothriidea; Litobothriidae. The record is from RNAcentral.